RNAcentral lists this ribosomal RNA (252 nucleotides) under uncultured Pseudomonas sp. RNAcentral describes it as "partial 16S ribosomal RNA". It matches the Rfam family "Bacterial small subunit ribosomal RNA", at positions 1132 to 1382 of the family's 1533-position model. The record is from RNAcentral. Lineage: Bacteria; Pseudomonadati; Pseudomonadota; Gammaproteobacteria; Pseudomonadales; Pseudomonadaceae.
UGGGCACUCUAAGGAGACUGCCGGUGGACAAACCGGAGGAAGGUGGGGAUGACGUCAAGUCAUCAUGGCCCUUACGGCCUGGGCUACACACGUGCUACAAUGGUCGGUACAAAGGGUUGCCAAGCCGCGGGGUGGAGCUAAUCCCAUAAAACCGAUCGUAGUCCGGAUCGCAGUCUGCAACUCGACUGCGUGAAGUCGGAAUCGCUAGUAAUCGUGAAUCAGAAUGUCACGGUGAAUACGUUCCCGGGCCUU